UGGGAACGUACCCUUCAGUUCGGAACAACCCAGGGAAACUUGGGCUAAUGCCGAAUACGUCCGUAAGGAGAAAGAUUUAUCGCUGAAGGAUCGGCCCGCGUCUGAUUAGCUAGUUGGUGAGGUAACGGCUAACCAAGGCGACGAUCAGUAGCUGGUCUGAGAGGAUGAUCACGCCUCACGUGGGACUGAGACCGACCGGCCCAGACCUCCGUACGGGAGGCAG
Molecule: ribosomal RNA, 223 nt
Filed under: uncultured bacterium
Lineage: Bacteria
Description: partial 16S ribosomal RNA
Rfam family: Bacterial small subunit ribosomal RNA
Source: RNAcentral